GGCUGAGAAGACUGGGCACUCUCCUUAUCAUGCCAAGAGGUGCUAGACUAGUGGGGUAAAUUUUCCUGCAGCAGUUUCAAGUUGACUCGAACCCUGGCCUUUUCACCCUGGGCCCUAUGCCCUUUUAUUUUCUGUCUUCCUCCCGCCCUCAGAGUAAUUUCAAAUAGGUCUCAUUUAAGUGAGUAAACAUCUCCAAUUCAGGCACCCU
Molecule: long non-coding RNA, 208 nt
Filed under: Homo sapiens (human)
Lineage: Eukaryota; Metazoa; Chordata; Mammalia; Primates; Hominidae
Description: HSALNT0153740
Source: RNAcentral